This 253-nucleotide ribosomal RNA is filed under the name uncultured bacterium. RNAcentral's name for it is "partial 16S ribosomal RNA". It matches the Rfam family "Bacterial small subunit ribosomal RNA", at positions 524 to 776 of the family's 1533-position model. The record is from RNAcentral.
UACGUAGGGGGCAAGCGUUGUCCGGAAUCAUUGGGCGUAAAGCGCGCGUAGGCGGCCCGGUAAGUCCGCUGUGAAAGUCAAAGGCUCAACCUUUGAAUGUCAGCGGAUACUGCCGGGCUAGAGUCCGGAAGAGGCGAGUGGAACUCCUGGUGUAGCGGUGAAAUGCGCAGAUAUCGGGAGGAACACCAAUGGCGAAGGCAGCUCGCUGGGACGUGACUGACGCUGAGACGCGAAAGCGUGGGGAGCAAACAGG